Molecule: transfer RNA, 67 nt
Filed under: Phrynus sp. 1 SEM-2008
Lineage: Eukaryota; Metazoa; Arthropoda; Arachnida; Amblypygi; Phrynidae
Description: tRNA-Glu
Source: RNAcentral
UAUUCAAUAGUGAAAUCAUCACCUAACCUUUUCAAGGUUAAAUUGUAUUAUCCUAAUACUUGAAUUU